GACGAACGCUGGCGGCGUGCUUAACACAUGCAAGUCGAACGAAGAGCGAUGGAAGCUUGCUUCUAUCAAUCUUAGUGGCGAACGGGUGAGUAACGCGUAAUCAACCUGCCCUUCAGAGGGGGACAACAGUUGGAAACGACUGCUAAUACCGCAUACGAUCUAACCUCGGCAUCGAGGAUAGAUGAAAGGUGGCCUCUACAUGUAAGCUAUCACUGAAGGAGGGGAUUGCGUCUGAUUGGCUAGUUGGAGGGGUAACGGCCCACCAAGGCGAUGAUCAGUAGCCGGUCUGAGAGGAUGAACGGCCACAUUGGGACUGAGACACGGCCCAGACUCCUACGGGAGGCAGCAGUGGGGAAUCUUCCGCAAUGGACGAAAGUCUGACGGAGCAACGCCGCGCGAGUGAUGACGGCCUUCGGGUUGUAAAGCUCUGUUAAUCGGGACGAAAGGCCUUCUUGCGAAUAGUUAGAAGGAUUGACGGUACCGGAAUAGAAAGCCACGGCUAACUACGUG
Molecule: ribosomal RNA, 510 nt
Filed under: uncultured bacterium
Lineage: Bacteria
Description: partial 16S ribosomal RNA
Rfam family: Bacterial small subunit ribosomal RNA
Source: RNAcentral